Molecule: long non-coding RNA, 507 nt
Organism: Pseudophryne corroboree (corroboree frog)
Lineage: Eukaryota; Metazoa; Chordata; Amphibia; Anura; Myobatrachidae
Exons: 3
Source: RefSeq, a predicted model, not a curated record
CCGCCCGGAACAGCAUGCGAGCCCCCAUGAUGCGAACAGAACGCAGCGGUCUCUCCAACGAGGAAGAAUUGUUCAAAAGUUAAAAAAGGACCAUCCACACACGUAUUGCCACAGCAGAAGCGCAGUCUAGGUGUGUCUUCCAGACCACCACGUCGAAGCAUAUCGCAGGUCUCAGACGUGCCACCACAGCAACUCCUCGACAGUCCGCUGCCCUUGUCACCGCUUUCGUCACACUUGCCUGGGGAUACCAUUCUUCAGCCAAGUCAGCCAGGCCAAGUGCAGAAAUCUGACAAUGAGGAAACAUUCACACACAAUCUUACAGCAAUACCACCACCUGAUCAACCAACAACACAUUUUGCAACUCCGCCCACUCAACAGACACCUCAACAGGACAGAAGCACUACCACACAAAUACCAAAGUCUCAAGAACAGGCAUUUUGGGACAGCUGGUCCACCCAGCAAACAAAUAACUUAGAUUGUUUGCGUAGGCAACCCCAAUUUCUCUAU